CCCCUAUUUUAUCUAAUAAUUAUGCUAUUUUUGCAGGUACAAGGUGUUUAACUCUGCAAGUGGUGUAGUUUCCAUCAAUGGUAUUAGCACUUAUGUGCUCACUCUGAUGAAACAGUUUCGUUUGCACUAAUUAUUCAUCCAUACAUGCCUCAAGGAAUACAAAAAUACUACUGAAACAGCAUAGCAAUUUCACCAGAUACUACUUUGAAUUACAUCUGCUAAACAGUGGUUUCAAGGAACCUAAGAAACAAACAUACUGCAGUGCACUACCAGCAUUCAACCUUCAUGGAGCCUUUCA
This 298-nucleotide long non-coding RNA is filed under the name Nicotiana benthamiana. RNAcentral's name for it is "long non-coding RNA (NBEN_LNC015833)". The record is from RNAcentral. Lineage: Eukaryota; Viridiplantae; Streptophyta; Magnoliopsida; Solanales; Solanaceae.